Ochotona princeps (American pika) is the source of this 378-nucleotide long non-coding RNA. RefSeq lists it as uncharacterized. The transcript has 4 exons. Lineage: Eukaryota; Metazoa; Chordata; Mammalia; Lagomorpha; Ochotonidae. The record is from RefSeq and is a predicted model, not a curated record.
GAGUUAUAACACACAAGCAAACUCUAUAUGACAGUCUGGCAUCACAUUAGCAGGAAUCUUGUUCAUGAAUGGAGAAGCAAGGACUCCACGCAAAAAGGCAUGAAGGUAUGCCAAGCAGCAGUUACUGUACCAAACUCACACUCUUCUGUGAAAUCUGAUAAAGAAAUAUUGCAGAGGAAAAAGGAAAGGUCUGGAGGAUUUGAUUGCUGAGUUUCACCUGAGGAAGAGCCAAGGAAGAGAAAUGAAGUAAUAUCCACGAUCCCCUUCAGGCCUGCUGGAUUAAUGGAAUGAAGGGAACAGAGCAGAGAAGGCAGGCACGCGGGCAAGAAAGAUGGAAGAAACAAAGAAAGGCAGAAAGGGAGGAAUGAAAAAUGAGAG